RNAcentral lists this ribosomal RNA (437 nucleotides) under uncultured bacterium. RNAcentral describes it as "partial 16S ribosomal RNA". It matches the Rfam family "Bacterial small subunit ribosomal RNA", at positions 29 to 507 of the family's 1533-position model. The record is from RNAcentral.
AGCGAACGCUGGCGGCAGGCUUAACACAUGCAAGUCGAGCGGGCAUCCUUGUGGUGUCAGCGGCAGACGGGUGAGUAACGCGUGGGAACGUGCCCUUCGGUUCGGAAUAACUCAGGGAAACUUGAGCUAAUACCGGAUACGUGCGAGAGCAGAAAGGUUUAUCUGCCGAAGGAUCGGCCCGCGUCUGAUUAGCUAGUUGGUGAGGUUAUGGCUCACCAAGGCGACGAUCAGUAGCUGGUCCGAGAGGAUGAUCAGCCACACUGGGACUGAGACACGGCCCAGACUCCUACGGGAGGCAGCAGUGGGGAAUAUUGGACAAUGGGGGCAACCCUGAUCCAGCCAUGCCGCGUGAGUGAUGACGGCCUUAGGGUUGUAAAGCUCUUUUCUCCGGGACGAUAAUGACGGUACCGGAGGAAUAAGCCCCGGCUAACUUCGUG